Molecule: non-coding RNA, 2286 nt
Organism: Styela clava
Lineage: Eukaryota; Metazoa; Chordata; Ascidiacea; Stolidobranchia; Styelidae
Source: RefSeq, a predicted model, not a curated record
AUUUCCAAUAAAAACGUGUCAGUGUUAUGGACGUGUUAUAUUGCCAGCAUUAAUUAUAGGCUAUCACUUAAUAAAUCGCGAUUGCUGUCAUUAAUAUUGUUUGUGCCAAUUUCUUUUCAACCCAAUGUUUCAGUGACUAAAAUUAUUUAUGCAUGUUGUAAGUUAUCCUCCGCUGUGGAAAAUGCCAAUAGCGUGGAUCCUAAACGUUGGUACCUUUUGGUAUUUAAUAUUGCAUCUUUAUUUCAUCCUUCUUUGUUUCCCAGGCCGGUUUACAAUUUAGUAUGAAGUCAUAUUGAUUAUAAACACUAUUUUAAUGAAUCUAAUUUGACUGUUCGUCUAUCUAAAUUUGCUGACAAGUGUAGAAUGUAGAAUUGUAUAAAGGUAUUUAAAUGCAGUUGAAACUCUUGCCGUGUAGUGGGCUGAAGUCUGAGGUUGUCGAAACUGCGCGAGGGAAUCAGCGAUAUGCGCAAAAGACCGACUUUCAUUAAACUAUUUAGAUCACAAAACCAAAUCAAACAGGAUAAACUGUGGAGCAUUUGAGAAAUAUACACAAUUUCUUUUCGAAAAGAGGAGAAGACAAACCAAAUUCACAGAAGAGCAAAAGAUAAUAUUAUUAUUUCAGUGAAAUGCUAGCCAUCGGGGCAGUAUAACGUCAAAAUGAAUAGAAACAUUAUUUAUGGAGUUAUAAUUUGAUUGUUGAAAAAAAAAACGAUACCGCCGAAUACUUGCCGUUUGCUGACCAAUGUGGAGUGUAGAAUCGUAUAAAGGUGUUUCAAUUCGCUGAUAGAAGAGGAGAUUCUGACUACAAAGAUUUAGAGAGGAUUAAUGAGAGGCAUAAAAACCGAUACAGGCGAUUCCCUGCUCGUCUAUCUAUGCAUGCUGACCAACGUAGUAUAACGGUGUUUCAAAUCAUUGAUGGAAGAGGAGAUUCUGAUUACAAAGAUUUGGAGAAGAAUAAUGAGAUACAUAAAAACCGAUACAGGCGAUUCCCUGCUUGUCUAUCUAUGUAUGCUGACCAACGUAGAAUGUAGAUUUGUAUAACGGUGUUUCAAUUCACUGAUGGAAGAAAAGAUUCCAACAAAAAAGAUUUGGAGAAGAAUAAUGACAUGCAGAGUCAGCGAUACGAGCAAAAGACCGACUUUCAUUAAACUGUGGAGCAUUAGAGAAAUAUACAAAAAUUCUUUUAGAAAAGAGGAGAAGACAAACCAGAUUCAGAGAAGAGAAAAAGAUAAUAAGACUAUUUCAGUAAAAUGUGAGUUUGCUGUUGUAUUUAGGCUAUUUUGUAACUAUUGAAACGCUAAUGAAGUAAACAAGAUUGAGAUCAAAGAUCUUUUGAGUAAGUUCGCGUGACUUGGCUUUGAGCAAAUUUACAAUGAAAACGUGUCAGUGUUAUGGUCGUGUUAUAUUGCCAGCAAUAAUUAUAGGCUAUCACUUACUAAAUCGCAAUUGCUGUCAUUAACAUUGUUUGUGCCAAUUUUUUUUCAACCCAAUGUUUCAGUGACUAAAAUUAUUUAUGCAUGUUGUAAGUUAUCCUCAGCUGUGGAAAAUGCCAAUAGCGUGGAUCCUAAACGGAAUCAGCGAUUUGCGCAAAAGACCGACUUUCAUUAAACUAUUUAGAUCACAAAACCAAAUCAAACAGGAUAAACUGUGGAGCAUUUGAGAAAUAUACACAAAUUCUUUUCGAAAAGAGGAGAAGACAAACCAGAUUCACAGAAGAGCAAAAGAUAAUAUUAUUGUUUCAGUGAAAUGCUGGCCAUCGGUUCAGUAUGACGUCAAAAUGAAUAGAAACAUAUGUAUGGAGUUAUAAUUUGAUUGUUGAAAAAAAAACGAUACCGCCGAAUACUUGCCGUUUGCUGACCAAUGUGGAGUGUAGAAUCGUAUAAAGGUGUUUCAAUUCAUUGAUAGAAGAGGAGAUUCUGACUACAAAGAUUUAGAGAGGAUUAAUGAGAGGCAUAAAUACCGAUUACAGGCGAUUCCCUGCUCGUCUAUCUAUGUAUGGUGACCAACGUAAAAUGUAGAUUGUAUGAUGAUGUUUCAAUUCAUUGAUGGAAGAGGAGAUUCUGACUACAAAGAUUUGGAGAAGAAUAAUGACAUACGUAAGUUUUUGAGACGUACGAUAUUUUCGACAAUAACCCUGUUUAAAGAAUCUUCUUAUUCACAUUGAAAAGCAAUUAUAUAUUAACGUUAUGUUUUGUUCGAAAUCAAAUUAUUGACUAAAAUACUCAUGUCUGUAGCUUCAGAUACUGGUAUUUUUCCAAAUGCAUUACUUUCCAAGUUGAAGUAGUC